RNAcentral lists this ribosomal RNA (497 nucleotides) under uncultured bacterium. Its description in RNAcentral is "partial 16S ribosomal RNA". It matches the Rfam family "Bacterial small subunit ribosomal RNA", at positions 28 to 507 of the family's 1533-position model. The record is from RNAcentral.
GAUGAACGCUGGCGGCGUGCCUAAUACAUGCAAGUCGAGCGAACAGACGAGGAGCUUGCUCCUCUGACGUUAGCGGCGGACGGGUGAGUAACACGUGGAUAACCUACCUAUAAGACUGGGAUAACUUCGGGAAACCGGAGCUAAUACCGGAUAAUAUAUUGAACCGCAUGGUUCAAUAGUGAAAGACGGUUUUGCUGUCACUUAUAGAUGGAUCCGCGCCGCAUUAGCUAGUUGGUAAGGUAGCGGCUUACCAAGGCAACGAUGCUUAGCCGACCCCAGCGGGAGAACGGACAGACUGUAACUGAGACACAGCCCAGACUCUGACGGGAGGAAGCAGUAGGGAAUCUUCCGCAAUGGGCGAGAGCCUGACGGAGCACCGCCGCGGGAGUCAUGAAGGUCUUCGGCUCGGAAAACUCUGUUAGUAGGGAAGAAGAAAAGUGUAAGUAACUAUGCACGUCUUGACGGUACCGAAUGAGAAAGCCACGGCUAACUACGUG